UACGGGGGGUGCAAGCGUUGUUCGGAAUUAUUGGGCGUAAAGCGCGUGUAGGCGGUUUGAUUAGUCUGAUGUGAAAGCCCUGGGCUCAACCCAGGAAGUGCAUUGGAUACUGUCAGACUUGAAUACGGGAGAGGGUAGUGGAAUUCCUAGUGUAGGAGUGAAAUCCGUAGAUAUUAGGAGGAACACCGGUGGCGAAGGCGGCUACCUGGACCGAUAUUGACGCUGAGACGCGAAAGCGUGGGGAGCAAACAGG
RNAcentral lists this ribosomal RNA (253 nucleotides) under uncultured bacterium. RNAcentral's name for it is "partial 16S ribosomal RNA". It matches the Rfam family "Bacterial small subunit ribosomal RNA", at positions 524 to 776 of the family's 1533-position model. The record is from RNAcentral.